RNAcentral lists this ribosomal RNA (496 nucleotides) under uncultured bacterium. RNAcentral's name for it is "partial 16S ribosomal RNA". It matches the Rfam family "Bacterial small subunit ribosomal RNA", at positions 29 to 507 of the family's 1533-position model. The record is from RNAcentral.
AUGAACGCUGGCGGCGUGCCUAAUACAUGCAAGUCGAGCGAACGGACGAGAAGCUUGCUUCUCUGAUGUUAGCGGCGGACGGGUGAGUAACACGUGGAUAACCUACCUAUAAGACUGGGAUAACUUCGGGAAACCGGAGCUAAUACCGGAUAAUAUUUUGAACCGCAUGGUUCAAAAGUGAAAGACGGUCUUGCUGUCACUUAUAGAUGGAUCCGCGCUGCAUUAGCUAGUUGGUAAGGUAGCGGCUUACCAAGGCAGCGAUGCAUAGCCGACCUGAGAGGGUGAUCGGCCACACUGGAACUGAGACACGGUCCAGACUCCUACGGGAGGCAGCAGUAGGGAAUCUUCCGCAAUGGGCGAAAGCCUGACGGAGCAACGCCGCGUGAGUGAUGAAGGUCUUCGGAUCGUAAAACUCUGUUAUUAGGGAAGAACAUAUGUGUAAGUAACUGUGCACAUCUUGACGGUACCUAAUCAGAAAGCCACGGCUAACUACGUG